ACACUCUCGCCGCACUAAAUAUAUACUCUCACCUUCAAUUGCACGCACACACAUCCUAACGGGCAACAAACUUGUGCCUGUUUAGAUUAAAUAAUUAGAUACUGACUCAGUUAUCUCCCUGACUCAAAUAACUUCCGUGGCGGUAGGGAUUUUCGUUACCCACUAAUAUCUAGCCAGGCCGACUCGGCGGACAUCGGCGAUCACCGGCGGAUUCAAUCACUUAUGAUCUUCGCUGGAUUUAAUCCGCAAGAUAGAGGAGCGUGCAGCUCAUCUUGUGGCCAUCGAAGCACACCCUAUUGGGAGUUUUCUACAAGCGAUCCAAAUUAUAUCUGCCGCUGGCCGAUGGAUCAGAGAGCACAACACGAUGUUGAUUGGAAUCAGAGAUCUGAAGAGUGGCAUAUGAAUAUAUGAUCCCUUUCAGGAGAUGGGUCUCAAUAUCGUUUGCCGACGUUAAUUCUGUGAACGGAAGAAUAUUUGUGUGCUCUGUGGUUGUUUCUAUAGACUUGUGGCCGACGGCCUCUAGAAUGGAAGAAUCAGUUCAGUGGCUUCUGGUGGUCGAUGGAGGCAACAUCACUCGCGGUGUGCUUGUUAAUCUCCAACGAAUUCUCACGGUCAUAUGGCCAGCGGCGCCCAGCUAGCCGUAAACCUGAUUAGCAUACUUCCUAAUUACUCCUGUUAGUGUAUAAAUGAUAAAAUGUAUAGUUUUGUGUACAACUGUUGUCUCGUGGUAUUACCCAACAAAAGGAGCAGUAGCUCCGAUUGCUAAACUACUAUGUAGAAAACUACUAAUUUGAUUCAAGCUAGAGGAUCCUACCUGUUUAGUUGUCGAAGAGUGCACUAUUUUUCUGAAAUUGCUGCUUUAAUUUUCCAUUUGUAAAAGGGUACAUGCAUUUCCCUGCUUCAACCGGUGUUUCAUUUUGCUUCGCACAAGCCUUGUGUGCUUCGUGUCAUAUAAAAAAAGUUAGUACCCCCA
Molecule: long non-coding RNA, 973 nt
Organism: Triticum dicoccoides
Lineage: Eukaryota; Viridiplantae; Streptophyta; Magnoliopsida; Poales; Poaceae
Exons: 3
Source: RefSeq, a predicted model, not a curated record